AACGAACGCUGGCGGCAGGCUUAACACAUGCAAGUCGAGCGCCCAGCAAGGGGAGCGGCAGACGGGUGAGUAACACGUGGGAACCUUCCUAGAGGUACGGAACAACUCAGGGAAACUUGAGCUAAUACCGUAUACGCUAUUGCGAGGAAAGAUUUAUCGCCCAUAGACGGGCCCGCGGCGGAUUAGCUAGUUGGUGGGGUGACGGCCUACCAAGGCGACGAUCCGUAGCUGAUCUGAGAGGAUGAUCAGCCACAAUGGGACUGAGACAAGGCCCAGACUCCUACCGGAGGCAGCAGUGAGGAAUCUUGGACAAUGGACGCAAGCCAGAUCCAGCCAUGCCGCGUGAGUGAAAAAGGCCUUCGGGUUGUAAAGCUCUUUUGCCAGGGACGAUAAUGACGGUACCUGUAGAAUAAGCCCCGGCAAACUUCGUGCCAGCCGCCGCCGUAA
RNAcentral lists this ribosomal RNA (447 nucleotides) under uncultured bacterium. Its description in RNAcentral is "partial 16S ribosomal RNA". It matches the Rfam family "Bacterial small subunit ribosomal RNA", at positions 29 to 523 of the family's 1533-position model. The record is from RNAcentral.